This 478-nucleotide ribosomal RNA is filed under the name uncultured bacterium. RNAcentral's name for it is "partial 16S ribosomal RNA". It matches the Rfam family "Bacterial small subunit ribosomal RNA", at positions 28 to 507 of the family's 1533-position model. The record is from RNAcentral.
GAUGAACGCUGGCGGCGUGCUUAACACAUGCAAGUCGAACGAGAAGUGAAGACGGAAACCUUCGGGCGGAAGGCUUUAUUUCGAGUGGCGGACGGGUGAGUAACGCGUGGGUAACCUGCCUCAUACAGGGGGAUAACAGUUGGAAACGACUGUUAAUACCGCAUAAUACCACAGCACCGCAUGGUGCGGGGGUAAAAACUCCGGUGGUAUGAGAUGGACCCGCGUUCGAUUAGCCAGUUGGCAGGGUCACGGCCCACCAAAGCGACGAUCGAUAGCCGAUCUGAGAGGAUGACCGGCCACAAUUGAGCUGAGACCCAGCCCCAAAUCCUACGGAGGGCAGCAGUGGGGAAUAUUGCACAAUGGGGCAAAACCUGAUGCCGCGACGCCGCGUGAGUGAAGAAGUAGUUCGGUAUGUAAAGCUCUAUCAGCAGGGAAGAAAAUGACGGUACCUGAGAAAGAAGCCCCGGCUAACUACGUG